RNAcentral lists this ribosomal RNA (497 nucleotides) under uncultured bacterium. RNAcentral describes it as "partial 16S ribosomal RNA". It matches the Rfam family "Bacterial small subunit ribosomal RNA", at positions 28 to 507 of the family's 1533-position model. The record is from RNAcentral.
GACGAACGCUGGCGGCGUGCCUAAUACAUGCAAGUUGAGCGCUGAAGGUUGGUACUUGUACCGACUGGAUGAGCAGCGAACGGGUGAGUAACGCGUGGGGAAUCUGCCUUUGAGCGGGGGACAACAUUUGGAAACGAAUGCUAAUACCGCAUAAAAACUUUAAACACAAGUUUUAAGUUUGAAAGAUGCAAUUGCAUCACUCAAAGAUGAUCCCGCGUUGUAUUAGCUAGUUGGUGAGGUAAAGGCUCACCAAGGCGAUGAUACAUAGCCGACCUGAGAGGGUGAUCGGCCACAUUGGGACUGAGACACGGCCCAAACUCCUACGGGAGGCAGCAGUAGGGAAUCUUCGGAAAUGGACGAAAGUCUGACCGAGCAACGCCGCGGGAGUGAAGAAGGGUUUCGGAUCGUAAAACUCUGUUGGUAGAGAAGAACGUUGGUGAGAGUGGAAAGCUCAUCAAGUGACGGUAACUACCCAGAAAGGGACGGCUAACUACGUG